Passer domesticus (house sparrow) is the source of this 4909-nucleotide long non-coding RNA. RefSeq lists it as uncharacterized. The record is from RefSeq and is a predicted model, not a curated record. The transcript has 6 exons. Lineage: Eukaryota; Metazoa; Chordata; Aves; Passeriformes; Passeridae.
CCCGGCUGUGCUGGGCGUACCGCCCGGCUGUUGGGCCGCUGCGUCCUGCGCCAGUGUGGAAGCCCUGCUCUGGUUCCUCGGAGGUCCCUGUUUUCUUUAAGUGAACGACAGAGCAAUUCCCAAGUCAAAUAAUGAAGCCUCCCAAGUUCCCUACAAGGAAACUUGAAGGCAAACUGACCUCACCAAGAACAGUGAAUAAAUCCCAGGGUGAUGAGGACCAGGCCAGCUCUCCUUAGCAGCCAUACAGUAGGACCAGGAAGAAGCCAUCUCUUUCAAGUUUGCUUCUCAGAUGGAUCAGUCCCUGGAUCUGAGUCCCAGUGUGGAGCAGUGGUGCCAGCACAGUGCAGGGAGGGAAGAAGCCAAGGAAGGGCUGGGCAUGGAUUCUGCUCUCAGCCUAGUGAGGGAAAGUAAAACCCAGCAUUCACUGCCUGGUUCCUGAAGGGUGUGGGAGCAGCUGUCAGCAGGGAGAGGAGACCCAGAGCUGGGCAGCACCUGAAGGACACAGACUCUCUCUUCACUCUGCACAACACAGCUCUUCCCAGGCCCUCUGAUAUGUAAUGGCUGUGGAGGGACCCUGAAAGUGCUGAGAAACAGCAGAAAAGCAGAAACUCACCAUCCCCUUGAUAACAGGAGCCUUGAAGGAAGAUGUGCCCCAUGUCCCCGAAAGACCUCCCAGUGACUGUAAACUGCUUUGCUAAUUUUUUUAAUUCUUUUUUUCUGGAUGCACAGUUUGCAAGGCCUUCUCCUGAAAGGGACCUGUUAGUGCAGCAUCCCAUGCUCUGUUUCCCCACCUGCACAUCCAGGGCAACUGGGCUGUCACCACAGGAGCACUGGGAAGAUGGAUUAGUUAAUAUUUGCUUAGUGCUCUGGAGAUAGCACUAUAUAAGUCUAAUUACAUUUUCUGCCCUCAUGUGAUAAGGAUGUCAUCUUGGAUUAGAGGGGAUUAGUUGUUAAUGCCAUUCCUGUACAUACCGGUCCCCUCCGGGGCUUUGAUUUCUGCUGAGAAGGUUAUUCACCCUGCUUUCAAAUCACUGAGGUCCUCCUAGGUAUGAUCAUCGUGGAAAUCAAAGAUUUUUGGUGGAUGAAAACAAGACUUGGUGCAUACCUGACUAUGCCAUCAGCCAAGCAGAGGUGUGUGCUCAGUGAGUGACAGAGUGCACUCAGUGACUCUCCUGCUCUGGCAUCCCUAAACCUUUGGCAAGGCCAGGCGAAGGGAUUGAGGGUGUCCCCUCCCUCUGCACCGAGUUCCAACACACCACCAAGUUAUUAAGUACAAAUCUAAGUUAAUGUUUAGUGCUUGCCCAAAACACGGUGAUUGCCAAAAGCCAAAACAGAGUGAGAAUACACACGCUGGUAAUGACUGCAGGGAAAAUGCCACUGAGAGGGCAUUCCCACCUCCUAGCAGCGCUGCCCUCCGGGGAGUGCUCCAAGCUGGGGACGUGUCCCAGAGGGAUGCAAGGGGCCUCUGCUCCCAUGCUGCAUGGCAGGAGCUGGGCAGCUUGCAGGGAUUUGGCUUUUUGAAGCCUGUUGCAGUGAAGCUUGCAUCCCUUCCCCACAGGGACCCUGAUGGCUCUCAGGGGACUUCCUGGAGAGCCAAGGCCCUCUGCCCUGGUUGCAGAGGUAUCACAGAUUGUUCCAAGAUCACUUUCAAGGUUCCCUUUGGAGCACUCCCAGUUGCUCCAAGCAUUAUUUUGGAGCAGGCUGUAUUUCAGCUUCCAGCUCAGCACUAAAAGGGCUGUCCUGUCUCCACCUCCCACCAGCAAGGGCUUGUCCCAGAGGAAACCCUGGAUCUGUCACCUAUGGCUGACCACUCAGGAACAGCCAAGGGUAGGGCACAGGCUCCUCUCAGCAGCAGAGGUUAAGGAUACCACCUUCUGGCUCCCAGCUGACAGGAGCAGGUUUGGCUUACCAGCAUGAUGAAGAAGCUCAUCGGAAAGGAAAACCUCCAGGGACUUCUUAAAGCUGCAUUAAAUUUUCAGAGACAGAUCCCACCAUGGUCCUUUAGCAGGGACCAGCUGCAGCCAGGUAUAAAACUGGGAGCUGCAGCAAGAAGUGGUGACCAGCAAAAGGAGUGAUCAGCAAAAUGAGCCUUUUCUGGGCUUCAUGGGGAGCACCCGUGACAGCUAAGAGGGCACAGCUGAGUGAGGAAGAGGGUGAGGGCCCCACCACGGCAUGUGAGGGCUCAGAUGAGCACAGUUCAGGCUGAUGCUGCUGGGAGCCAAACUGGGUCAGUCUGGAGGUGCUUCUCCAUCAUCAGUGGAAUGCAAAAGCAGCUGGAGCUUUCUACUUACCUGGGUUGGCUCCACAAGGCAAACACCCACCUCCAUUUGUUUCUUAUUGUUGGCCAGAAGAGCUGGUCUUUUGCAAGAGAGGGAAUAAAUCACCACCACUGUCACUCUGGGUAGGUGCUCUCCAUCCUCCCAGGGGAAGAGGUGCUGGGGUGCAGGUAGGGUACAAAAUAUGUGAGGAAAAAAAGGUUAGUUUGGUGUUUGGAACCAGACAUAUUCCAUGGAGGACACCCCACGGAGCACCAGGGGCAGCUGCAAGGCAGAGUGCAGGGGACAGGGGGCUGAAGAUGCCACCAGGGUGCCCUGGCUUGGCCCAGCCUGUCCAGAGCCUCAGCAGAGCCAUCACCCUGGGAGCCCUGAGCAUCACAUUUCUUUGGCUGCCAAGACUAACCUCCCUCCCAGCAGCUACUCCAAAUGCAGGGCAGGCAGCCAAGCUGUCAGGGAAGUCAGCAGGAUCCCUUAGCAUUUUUUAUCAAACUCAGCAUUUUUUGGGAGAACGUUUCCAUUUCAGUGAGUCAGCAGCCUUGGGAAGCGUCUGUCUGUCGGCAGUGAUGAAGCUCGAGGUGGGCACACAGGGAAAGGCCCCUGGGACACACACCUGGCCUGGCAUGGACACUGCUCAGGAGGAGACGUGCAAUGAACCUCCCUCUUUUUGGCCAAUUCUCCUCCAGUCUGUUCCUUGUUCACCAACAGAGAUGCUUGUCCAAGCUGAGUUUUCAGAUUUAAGUGGACUGACAUGUAACAGGUCAAAACAACAGGAUUCUGUUCCUUCACAUGCUUGAUCACAUCACCCCUUUACAAAAUCAGGCCUAGAACCAAGUUAACUUUAUUACUCUGUUUGUUAUGUUUUCCUCAUCUAAGUGUUUCUUGCUAAACCCAAAAUGUCUUGCCCUAUCCAGAGAAGAGAUUAAGCCCCCUGUGGAAUUGCCUCUUGCAUAUUGAGGGCUGCUCUCAUGCCUCCCUGAGCCCCUUCUGUUGCCUGUUAUCCAACCCAGGUCAAGCUUGCUGGGAGUCAUCAUGUCCUUGCUAAUCUCUGGCCUCCCUCCAACCUGCCCAUGUCUCACCCCAGUGGGAAGCCAGCUUUUCCUCGCAGGGCUUCUCUGCAAACCUCCAGUCCCUUCUUCCAGCAAGUCCUCACAAGGAUUUACAGCUUGUCACUCAGCAGGGAUGGAGCUGUUCUCGUUGCUGGAGAGAUGGAGGAGAUAGGGCAGGGGAUGCAGGCUUGGGGGUAGCCAGCAGACUGGAGACUGCAAAGAGACCAAAAAGGCUGUCAGCCCCCACUCCCUGCUCCCUCCACCAAGAGGGAUUUUUCACCCAGGGAGCUGAACCAGGUCUUACACUUCAGCUUGCAGUGCUUGAACCAGGGCUUCACCUCUCCCAAAAGGGGGUGGCUCUGAGGCUGCUCUGGAGGGGCAAGGCAGGGAGUCAGACUGGACUGGGGAACUCAGGACAAACCAGGAUCCUGGAGUCCCUCCUAGGGCAGGGCUUGGUUUCUCUCCUUCCUUGGGUUUUGGUCUUUUGUUUGGUUUUUUUUGUGUGUUACCGAGGGUGGGUUGGAGUAGGACUGUCACAUCAGGCAGGGCUCGGCUGCUCCUCAUCCUCUCCCAGCAGGGUUUGCAGGGCUGCAAACUGUAGCAGUUGCAGGUACCUCCUUGCAGGAAAAAGCAGGAAAAAACUGGCAGGGAGUGGAAACAAGUGGCAAGCAGAUUAGAAACCCAGCUCCUAUUUAUAGACCGGCAGUCAAGAAACUGCCCCUGUGACAGGGCCAUCGGUUUAACCCUUCUGGGCCCAAGCACCAACCCACCCAGGGACUCUGAGCCCACCCAGCCUGUGCCAUGAGGGAGCAUUUUGGCACAGGGGAAGCAGGAUCCUGCACCAGGGCACCUGUGGAGGGGGCAGAAGACAGGUCCAGGCACAGUGGAGCUUACAGGGGUUAUUCCUCAGCGAGGCACUGGGGAGAGAGGUGGAGUUAGGAUUUUUAAGAAGUUGGGUCACCAGGACAAGGAAAAGAAUAUCCCAAGUAUCCUGCUGCAUGGUAGACAGAGAGAGACAAAAAUAUUUCCUCUAAGAGAGAGGUAAUGAACAUGUUUUAGGGGCAGCUGCAAUGUUUCCAGCCUCUUUUGUCUCCCCUGGGCUUUGUAAGUUUGCAUGUGAUCCCUUUGAGGGCCACUGCCUGCCCCUUGUCCAGGAGUGGUUGCUGAUGCUCACGCAAGGCUGCUGCAUCCCACAGGAGUGCACUGCGACCCCUGCUCGCUGCUGCUCCUCACCAAGGGCUCCCCAGAGCUCAGAGUCUUCACCAGCCCCUGCUGCAUUUGCAGUGGUUUGAUGAAUGUAUGCUGAAGCUCCCUCUUGGCUGUUUCUGUACCUGCUGUCACUUAUGGGUGUCUUUAUGCCAUACACGGUUGUUUUAUACACUGCCAUGGCAAGACUUUCCAGCUGUUGCCUCAUUUGCUUGUGUCAAUAGCUAUUUUUACAAUAUUGCCUUUCUUUACUUCUUAAUUGAUCUAAAUCCUUUCCCUUAGCUUUCUUGUUAAAGGUGGAUUUAAAGAAAAGGACUUCAUUAUCUCGGACAUUUUUGAGUCAUUAUGAAUUUCAUCCCUGUCUCCAUUAAUUACUCAUUA